GACGAACGCUGGCGGCGUGCUUAACACAUGCAAGUCGAACGGAAAGCGCUCUUCGGAGUGACUCGAGUGGCGAACGGGUGAGUAACACGUGGGUGAUCUGCCCUGCGCUUUGGGAUAAGCCUGGGAAACUGGGUCUAAUACCGAAUAGGACCAUGGCAUUCAUGUGCUGUGGUGGAAAGCUUUUGCGGUGUGGGAUGGGCCCGCGGCCUAUCAGCUUGUUGGUGGGGUAAUGGCCUACCAAGGCGACGACGGGUAGCCGGCCUGAGAGGGUGGCCGGCCGCACUGGGAGUGAGAUACGGCCCAGACUCCUACGGGAGGCAGCAGUGGGGAAUAUUGCACAAUGGGCGCAAGCCUGAUGCAGCGACGCCGCGUGAGGGAUGACGGCCUUCGGGUUGUAAACCUCUUUCAGUAGGGACGAAGCGCAAGUGACGGUACCUAUAGAAGAAGGACCGGCCAACUACGUGCCAGCAGCCGCAGUAA
This 480-nucleotide ribosomal RNA is filed under the name uncultured bacterium. RNAcentral's name for it is "partial 16S ribosomal RNA". It matches the Rfam family "Bacterial small subunit ribosomal RNA", at positions 28 to 523 of the family's 1533-position model. The record is from RNAcentral.